CCUACGGGUGGCAGCAGUGGGGAAUAUUGCACAAUGGGGGAAACCCUGAUGCAGCGACGCCGCGUGAGUGAAGAAGUAUUUCGGUAUGUAAAGCUCUAUCAGCAGGGAAGAUAAUGACGGUACCUGACUAAGAAGCCCCGGCUAACUACGUGCCAGCAGCCGCGGUAAUACGUAGGGGGCAAGCGUUAUCCGGAUUUACUGGGUGUAAAGGGAGCGUAGGUGGCAGGGCAAGUCAGAUGUGAAAACCCGGGGCUCAACCCCGGGAGUGCAUUUGAAACUGUGUAACUGGAGUACAGGAGGGGCAGGCGGAAUUCCUGGUGUAGCGGUGAAAUGCGUAGAUAUCAGGAGGAACACCGGCGGCGAAGGCGGCCUGCUGGACUGAAACUGACGUUGAGGCUCGAAAGCGUGGGGAGCAAACAGGAUUAGAUACCCUUGUAGUC
This 440-nucleotide ribosomal RNA is filed under the name uncultured bacterium. Its description in RNAcentral is "partial 16S ribosomal RNA". It matches the Rfam family "Bacterial small subunit ribosomal RNA", at positions 338 to 795 of the family's 1533-position model. The record is from RNAcentral.